AGACAACAGUCUGAACAGUCAUGGAGAUCAUCUUUUCUCUCUCUCUCUCGCUUUUUUCCGUGGAGCCGGGAGGGGAGGAGCAUUGGCCAGAAUUCUGCUGCCGACUCCAGCUGGACAGCAUCUUCACUGCCCUUAAUUGUGACACCUUCCCCAACUGUGGAAGUACUGCGACCACCACCCGAUCCUCUGUCUACUGCAGCCGUGGCAAGGUCUGCUCUCACGGGUUAAUUUCAGCACUGUGCAAUCUCUGUGAGGCAAAAGGCCCUAACACAUCACGAGGCACCGUGAUACCCAAGCAGCAGCUUCAAUGAAGAUGCAGGCUGCCGAGGCACACAGCGGUAGCAGACGACAAACAUAGCACGUGAGGAAUGAAAGGUCACACAAAAGCAUUUAGUUAAGGCUCGCUGUAAGCUGCUGAAUCAAAAUACAACCAAUGUUUGCAUUUAAGACGUCAAAAAAGCAUUCUUCAAGGCACUGGUGUGCCCAAGAGAAACAGGAGAAGUACAUGUACAGAUAACACACGAUUCAUCGCAGAAAGCUGUGGCACUGCUACUCGGUGAAAUGCAGAACUACAUGGGAUGAGUCAACCAUGCAAAGCCAAAGCAACAGCAGAAAAAAAAAACAAAAGCAAGUAAAGGCUCUUACUGUGCGACAAGCUCGUCAG
Molecule: long non-coding RNA, 664 nt
Organism: Ochotona curzoniae (black-lipped pika)
Lineage: Eukaryota; Metazoa; Chordata; Mammalia; Lagomorpha; Ochotonidae
Exons: 4
Source: RefSeq, a predicted model, not a curated record